GGGGGAUAUUGCACAAUGGAGGAAACUCUGAUGCAGCAACGCCGCGUGAGGGAAGAAGGUCUUCGGAUUGUAAACCUUUGUCCUUGGUGACGAAACAAAUGACGGUAGCCAAGGAGGAAGCUCCGGCGAACUACGUGCCAGCAGCCGCGGUAAUACGUAGGGAGCAAGCGUUGUCCGGAUUUACUGGGUGUAAAGGGUGCGUAGGCGGCUCUGCAAGUCAGGCGUGAAAACUAUGGGCUUAACCCAUAGACUGCGUUUGAAACUGUGGGGCUUGAGUGAAGUAAACGUGGGCGGAAUUCCCGGUGUAGCGGUGAGGUGCGUAGAGAUCGGGAGGAACACCAGUGGCGAAGGCGGCCUACUGGGCUUUAACUGACGCUGAAGCACGAAAGCAUGGGUAGCAAAC
This 403-nucleotide ribosomal RNA is filed under the name uncultured bacterium. Its description in RNAcentral is "bacterial SSU rRNA". It matches the Rfam family "Bacterial small subunit ribosomal RNA", at positions 356 to 773 of the family's 1533-position model. The record is from RNAcentral.